This is a long non-coding RNA of Zingiber officinale, 196 nucleotides long. RefSeq lists it as uncharacterized. The record is from RefSeq and is a predicted model, not a curated record. NCBI's taxonomy places the organism in Eukaryota, Viridiplantae, Streptophyta, Magnoliopsida, Zingiberales, Zingiberaceae. The transcript has 3 exons.
AGCGUACCCCUCUACCCUAGCUUGGUCGUCACUGCCGUGCCCUAGGUUUUCUCCUCGUAGGUGAGUGAGGUUUGGUGACAACGGGAUUAAGCUGUUGUUGGAGCUGAGGAAUCUGAUCAUUUUUCAUACACUUAGGAUUCUGAUUCGAGACGGGCGUCUCGACUUUGGAUUUGACCAGAUUGGACUUUACGAUUGG